AAAUUGAAGAGUUUGAUCAUGGCUCAGAUUGAACGCUGGCGGCAGGCCUAACACAUGCAAGUCGAGCGGCAGCGGGGAGUAGUUUACUACUUUGCCGGCGAGCGGCGGACGGGUGAGUAAUGUCUGGGAAACUGCCUGAUGGAGGGGGAUAACUACUGGAAACGGUAGCUAAUACCGCAUAACGUCUUCGGACCAAAGUGGGGGACCUUCGGGCCUCACGCCAUCGGAUGUGCCCAGAUGGGAUUAGCUAGUAGGUGGGGUAAUGGCUCACCUAGGCGACGAUCCCUAGCUGGUCUGAGAGGAUGACCAGCCACACUGGAACUGAGACACGGUCCAGACUCCUACGGGAGGCAGCAGUGGGGAAUAUUGCACAAUGGGCGCAAGCCUGAUGCAGCCAUGCCGCGUGUGUGAAGAAGGCCUUCGGGUUGUAAAG
This 433-nucleotide ribosomal RNA is filed under the name Yersinia enterocolitica subsp. palearctica YE-149. Its description in RNAcentral is "bacterial SSU rRNA". It matches the Rfam family "Bacterial small subunit ribosomal RNA", at positions 1 to 430 of the family's 1533-position model. The record is from RNAcentral. Lineage: Bacteria; Pseudomonadati; Pseudomonadota; Gammaproteobacteria; Enterobacterales; Yersiniaceae.